Molecule: ribosomal RNA, 433 nt
Filed under: uncultured bacterium
Lineage: Bacteria
Description: partial 16S ribosomal RNA
Rfam family: Bacterial small subunit ribosomal RNA
Source: RNAcentral
AACGAACGCUGGCGGCAUGCCUAACACAUGCAAGUCGAGCGAGCGGUUCGGAUCUAGUGUCGCACGGGGGUGUAGGCGGUGGGAACCUGACCUCAGGGUCGGAAUAACUACACGAAAGGGGUGCCAAUACCGGACAAUGUCUACGGACCAAAGAUUUAUCGAAUUUGGAGGGUCCAGCGUUGGAUAAGCUCGUUCGUACGGUAAAAGACUACCAAGGCGACCAUUAGUAGCUGGGCUGAGAGGAUGAUCAGCGACACUGCGAUUAAGAAACGGCCGGGACUCCUACGGGAUGCAGCAGUGGGGAAUAUUGGACAAUGGGCGAAAGCCUGAUGCAGCAAUGCCGCGUGAGUGAUGAAGUCCUUAGGGUUGUAAAGCGCUUGUAACCGGGAUGAUAAUGACAGUACCGGGAGAAUAAGCGCCGGCUAACUCCGUG